AAGUCGUAACAAGGUUUCCGUAGGUGAACCUGCGGAAGGAUCAUUAACACGUUCCAAAACGUAUCAACCAACCGGUUAAGUGCAAACUUACUCCCUGAUCGGGGAAAGCAGUGCAACUCUCUUUAGUGAUGGGUGGGUCUUCGGAUCCGCAGAGAGAGCGGCACUAGGGUCUCGAGCCCAAUGCUUCCCCUUUUGGGCUUUUCCCCCCUUUUUUCCAUCACUUCCAACCACCAUUUUCACCCCUCGAUCAAUUAUGACUAAAUCUUUCGAACGAAGAAAUUUGUUGGAAUUGUAUAUCUAACACUGUACAACUCUUAGCAAUGGAUAUCUUGGUUCUC
RNAcentral lists this unclassified non-coding RNA (338 nucleotides) under fungal sp. Its description in RNAcentral is "partial internal transcribed spacer region". The stretch from base 1 to 46 matches the Rfam family "Eukaryotic small subunit ribosomal RNA", at positions 1786 to 1831 of the family's 1831-position model. Lineage: Eukaryota; Fungi. The record is from RNAcentral.